RNAcentral lists this ribosomal RNA (469 nucleotides) under uncultured bacterium. RNAcentral describes it as "partial 16S ribosomal RNA". It matches the Rfam family "Bacterial small subunit ribosomal RNA", at positions 28 to 507 of the family's 1533-position model. The record is from RNAcentral.
GACGAACGCUGGCGGCGUGCUUAACACAUGCAAGUCGAACGGAAAGGCCCUUCUUUUGUGGUGUGCUCGUGUGGCGAGCGGGUGAGUAACGCGUGUGUAACCUGCCCUUGACUUUGGGAUAACUUCAGGAAACUGGGUCUAAUCCCGGAUAGGAGCUCCUGCUGCAGGGGGGGGGUGGGAAAGUUUCGGCGGGUGGGGAUGGACUCGCGGCUUCUCAGCUUGUUUGUGGGGUAGUGGCUUACCAAGGCUUUGACGGGUAGCCGGCCUGAGGGGGUGACCGGCCACGUUGGGACUGAGAUACGGCCCAGGCUCCUACGGGAGGCAGCAGUGGGGAAUAGUGCACAAUGGGUGGAGGCCAGAUGCAGCAACGCCGUGGGCGGGAGGACGGCCUUCGGGUUGUAAACCGCCUUCGCUCAUGACGAAGCUUUGUGGGACGGUAGUGGGUAAAGAAGCACCGGCUAACUACGUG